RNAcentral lists this ribosomal RNA (236 nucleotides) under uncultured bacterium. RNAcentral's name for it is "partial 16S ribosomal RNA". It matches the Rfam family "Bacterial small subunit ribosomal RNA", at positions 100 to 334 of the family's 1533-position model. The record is from RNAcentral.
CGGCACGGGUGAGUAACACGUAUCCAACCUGCCGUCUACUCUUGGACAGCCUUCUGAAAGGAAGAUUAAUACAAGAUGGCAUCAUGAGUCCGCAUGUUCACAUGAUUAAAGGUAUUCCGGUAGACGAUGGGGAUGCGUUCCAUUAGGCAGUUGGUGGGGUAACGGCCCACCAAACCUUCGAUGGAUAGGGGUUCUGAGAGGAAGGUCCCCCACAUUGGAACUGAGACACGGUCCAA